UGUCGCACUCGGACGAGAAGCCCUACCAGU
RNAcentral lists this non-coding RNA (30 nucleotides) under Homo sapiens (human). The record is from RNAcentral. Lineage: Eukaryota; Metazoa; Chordata; Mammalia; Primates; Hominidae.